GACGGACGCUGGCGGCGUGCUUAACACAUGCAAGUCGAACGGAAAGGCCCUGCUUUUGUGGGGUGCUCGAGUGGCGAACGGGUGAGUAACACGUGAGUAACCUGCCCUUGACUUUGGGAUAACUUCAGGAAACUGGGGCUAAUACCGGAUAGGAGCUCCUGCUGCAUGGUGGGGGUUGGAAAGUUUCGGCGGUUGGGGAUGGACUCGCGGCUUAUCAGCUUGUUGGUGGGGUAGUGGCUUACCAAGGCUUUGACGGGUAGCCGGCCUGAGAGGGUGACCGGCCACAUUGGGACUGAGCUACGGCCCAGACUCCUACGGGAGGCAGCAGUGGGGAAUAUUGCACAAUGGGCUGAAGCCUGAUGCAGCCACGCCGCGUGCGGGAUGACGGCCUUCGGGUUGUAAACCGCUUUCGCCUGUGACGAAGCGUGAGUGACGGUAAUGGGUAAAGAAGCACCGGCUAACUACGUG
RNAcentral lists this ribosomal RNA (468 nucleotides) under uncultured bacterium. Its description in RNAcentral is "partial 16S ribosomal RNA". It matches the Rfam family "Bacterial small subunit ribosomal RNA", at positions 28 to 507 of the family's 1533-position model. The record is from RNAcentral.